GAUGAACGCUAGCGGCAGGCCUAACACAUGCAAGUCGAGGGGCAUCGCGGUGCAGCAAUGCACUGGCGGCGACCGGCGUACGGGUGCGUAACGCGUAUGCAACCUGCCCCGCACCGGGGGAUAGCCCGCCGAAAGGCGGAUUAAUACCCCAUGGUCCCGGGGGCCCGCAUGGGCGAUCCGGGUAAAGCCUUGGCGGUGCGGGAUGGGCAUGCGUGCCAUUAGCUGGCUGGUGGGGUAACGGCCCACCAGGGCAACGAUGGCUAGGGGGUCUGAGAGGAUGGUCCCCCACACUGGUACUGAGACACGGACCAGACUCCUACGGGAGGCAGCAGUGAGGAAUAUUGGUCAAUGGGCGGAAGCCUGAACCAGCCAUGCCGCGUGCGGGAUGAAGGCCCUACGGGUUGUAAACCGCUUUUCCCCGGGAAGAAUAACCCCGAUGAGUCGGGGGAUGCCGGGUACCGGGGGAAUAAGGAUCGGCUAACUCCGUG
This 488-nucleotide ribosomal RNA is filed under the name uncultured bacterium. RNAcentral describes it as "bacterial SSU rRNA". It matches the Rfam family "Bacterial small subunit ribosomal RNA", at positions 28 to 507 of the family's 1533-position model. The record is from RNAcentral.